CCCUUAGAUGUUCUGGGCCGCACGCGCGCUAGACUGAUGCAUUCAACGAGUUUCUUCCUGGUCCGAGAGGAAUGGGUAACCUUUUGAAAGUGCAUCGUGAUAGGGAUAGACUAUUGCAAUUAUUGGUCUUCAACGAGGAAUUCCUAGUAGACGUAGUUCAUCAGACUGCAUCGAUUACGUCCCUGCCCUUUGUACACACCGCCCGUCGCUCCUACCGAUUGAAUGCUCAGGUGAGCCAUUCGGACUUUCAUCAUGCUGGUUUCCAGUUUUGAUGAAGGAAAGUCUUGCGAACCUUAUCAUUUAGAGGAAGGAGAAGUCGUAACA
RNAcentral lists this ribosomal RNA (324 nucleotides) under uncultured eukaryote. RNAcentral describes it as "partial 18S ribosomal RNA". It matches the Rfam family "Eukaryotic small subunit ribosomal RNA", at positions 1470 to 1796 of the family's 1831-position model. The record is from RNAcentral.